CUAUCAUCUGCAAAGAAUAAUUGAGAUAAAGUAGGAGCACCUCGACAAAUAUUAAUGUCAUGGAUAAUGUUACUUUCUAUUCCACAGGAUAUAAGUCUAGAGAAGGUCUCUGCACAGAUAAUGAACAAAUACGGGGAGAUUGAAUCACAUUGCCUAAGACCUCUGGAUGGAGUAACAUUACCACAAUCCUUCCCAUUAAUCUUGAAAGAAAAGGAGACGCUAGUAAUACAUGAUAUGAUACGACGAAUCUAGCUAUCACCAAAACCCAUCUUAGACAUAACACGCUCUAAAAAACUCCAUAUCAUAAAAACAAAAUAUAAAUUUAGAGUAAUCGAUAAAAAAUUUAAAAAAUUAAUUAGAAAAUUUGCCGAAGUAUUAGUCUACAACUACACAUAUUGAUUAUUGAAUCAAUCCGACAGGCGACGAGAAACACUUGAUAUUCCCAAACCAAAAAUUGAUUUCAUUUUCCAAGCGAAAAAUCCAUCGUUUCUGGAGAAACAAACAUUGAUCGAGCUUCCAACUUCCUACACUUCUCCAAACUCCGAGCAGAAUUUGAGUCCCUUUCUCUAUACUCCGAAGCGCAACCAAAUUUGCACUAAAAUGGCGAAUAGUAACUUACCUCGGAGAAUCAUCAAGGAAACUCCGCGUCUUCUUAGCGAACCAGCUUCUGGUAUAAGUGCUUCACCAUCUAUAGAUAAUAUGUGAGACUUUAAUGUUAUGAUUCUUGGGCCUUCGCAGUCUCCAUAUGAAGGUACAUCUAUUACCAAUGAGGUAAUUAUUUUUUUUCAAAAUUGCGAUUAUAAUUCUUUUGAGGUUCGACAUUUUGUGGCGGUUUCUUCGAAAAUGGGUUUUUGAUUGGAUAUCUUUUUCGGGAUAAUCGAUGAAGUUAUGGGGUAAGGAGAAAAAGAGAGAGAGAGAAGGGUAAGGUAUUUUUAGCUAGCGAGCAUUCGAUUCGUUGGAGUUCUUUCUUUAAUUUGAUACACUAAAUUUCUGGUGGAAAUGUUAAUAGGACAUGACCUCAAGAUGACUUUUUAUUGGCUCUAAUUUGUGCAAGGCAUUUAGCAGUAUUGCUGCUAUCCCUCUCUAAGGUUUUCAAUUAAAGCCAUAGUUUAAUUGUUGUUUGGCUACUUUAAUAUGUAUAGCCUUAAAUUACAGAAAGGUUGUUGGUUCUAAAUUUGAAAGUAGUCUCUUGCAGAAAUGCAGAGUACACCUUUGAGACUCUUUUUCAGAUCUCUUGCUUUACGAGUAAUGACGCUUUGUGUACAGGCCUAUUUUUUGUAGCCAUAAAACUCGAUGCUAUGCUUGAAUAUGUAUGCCUUCGUUGUGCGUUGGCAUGUCAGAAUUGUUAUAUAAUUGGUUUGGGCUUAGUGCUCUUUCGGUUUUAAAUGAGGCAUGGAAGGUGUUGUCGCAUAGGUGAGUUGUAAACAUUAGUUCGUUUCUUUUGUGUGGAUGAUUAUGGGUUACAAGCUAGUUCACUCUUGUUAUGCUGUCUCACCUUCUUUACCUCAUACCUUGGCUCUCCACUUCCCAUUUGGUGUGAGAACGUGACUGAACAUUUUGUAUGAUAUGUGCUUUAGGGGUCUCUAGUAAAGAUUAAACUGACUUGGCUCUCCAACUUUGUUUGCUUUUCUCCCAACCUCUUCAAUUUUCACCAAAGUGUUGUGGAAUUGCAAGCUGUAAUUGUUAUUGCCACAAGCAUGUUAUGCUUGUUGAAUUAUGAGGAUUCAAAAGAAAAACCGAGGGAACUUUCACAUAAAUCUGCACUCCGUCCCAUUUUUGGUUGUCAAACUUUUCUUUCUUAAGUCUUAAUUGUUUUAACAUUUUGGUUUUGGAAUAUAAUGAACCAUAGUGAAAUGACUUAUUAAAUCAAUUAACUUGUGUCAUUUUCUUGAACUUUGCUUUCGAAGGCAAAGGAUAAUUAAAUUAAACACAAAAAAGGUUUGAAAGUUAUAGAAAUGAUGGAAUACAUCCCAAUUUGUGUUGGUCCUAAAUAAAUUUUUAUUUCCUUAAUUCAUUUUCAUUUCUUCGAUAUGACAACUAAUUCAAAGGCAUCCUAAGUGCUUUUGGAAGGCUUUAGGCGUAAGAUUAUGUUCUCUUCUUACCAUGUUCAGAUUUUCUUUGUUUUUGAUUGAAACCCAUCCAAUAUUAGGGGCUUAUGCAAAGAAGCACCCCUAAAUUUCCAACCCAUGCCAUAUGUCACACAUCUUACAUAAUUAUCAUAAUUCAACCUUAUUUUUUUACUUACCCACAUAAUUGAAACUCUACAUCUUUCCCCAUUUUACUGUUGCCCUCGUCUUUCCUCUACUGUCACUUCGUUGAUGCCUCCACCAAAUCUGUAGCACCUCUAUCAGUCAUUCCUUUAGCUUCUUCAUCUUCUCAGUUGAUGCCUCCUUUCCUUUCACAGUCAAGGAAAAUGGACCAUUUUCGUUCUUUGUGGACCAAAAUUCCCAAAGGAGUUUUAACGGAUGAUAUAAUAUUGAUGGUCGGAAAAUGCUGGCAUAAGUUACAGUAUUCAAGCGCUGCUGAGCUGAGUGCUCCAAAUCCUGAUGACCCUUGUGUCUAAGAACAUUGCUAAGCAUUGGAAAACAGAUGAGGCAGAAGCUGUUGAAAACUGGUGAGUGAAUUUAAUUUCGCAAGACUUACCGUAUUUCACAAAACCUGUUUCUUUGGUUUGCAAAGAUUUCAGAGUCCUUUUCAGGAAGGGAGGGGAUGAUGUCAUCAAAGGAUUUUCUUUCAUAAAUUGGUUAGCUAAAGAAUGGAGUUGUCUAUAUGCUAGUGAGGCUUGAUAUUACACCCAUAACAUUACCCUCCUUGGAAUAACAAAUGUAUGAACUGCGUUAUCUGACUGAUUUUUAAACCAAGCUGCAGGUUGGAACUUGGAAAUGAAUAUCAAGUAGCAAAUUUGGAGAAAAUAUGAUAAAAUGUAAUUAUAAGAUAUAAGCUUGAUGAAUUUGAACCUAAUGUUGCCUUGAUGGUAUGGUUUUAUGGACUUUGGAGUAUGAUUUUUAAACCCAAACAUUUUUUUUCUUUAUUCUACAUUUAGAUGUUUUUUGAACUUGCUGAAAUUCAACACAGAUCAACCUCGUUUAUGGUAUGUUUUGUAAAAAUGAGAGUACUUUUCCCUAAUCCAACUCUUCUACGGAAUGGUUACCCAUUGUGAAUGCAUAUUUCUAAUUUUUCUAAAUUGUAAAAUUGACAUUUAGGUGAUUUAAUUAUAUGUUGUAUUGAAUAUUCAUUUGUCUUUUCAUUUUGCUAUAUCUAUUUUCAAUGGUAGGUUGUGACUUGUUAGUUUCAUAAAAUUGGUGUAGAAUAAUAUUUGCAUAAGAUGAUAGUAAAUUGAAAUGGAUGGUCCAGGUGAUUUCGUCUUUUGGUUUAUUGGUUAUUGGUAUUAAUAUUUUUCUCUUUAUAAUUUGUCAUUAUUAGUAGCAAUUUUAAAGGUACAGGUAUCAAAAUAACAUGAUGAAUGACGUGGAAUAUCUAUAAUCUACUAUGAGUAUCCUACUUGUGGACAACAUAUUAUAGUACUUUUACAUUAUUACUGCAAUUAUUCUUCCAUGUACCCUCCUAACUUUUAAGCUCUAUGUUAUUGUUAGGUCUAUUCAUUUCAUUUGGUCCCUCUACUUACAAGAGACAAUUCCAAACCUCAAACUAAUUGAUGUAUGAUGUUUUUUU
Molecule: long non-coding RNA, 3672 nt
Organism: Amaranthus tricolor (Joseph's coat)
Lineage: Eukaryota; Viridiplantae; Streptophyta; Magnoliopsida; Caryophyllales; Amaranthaceae
Exons: 4
Source: RefSeq, a predicted model, not a curated record